This 496-nucleotide ribosomal RNA is filed under the name uncultured bacterium. RNAcentral's name for it is "bacterial SSU rRNA". It matches the Rfam family "Bacterial small subunit ribosomal RNA", at positions 28 to 526 of the family's 1533-position model. The record is from RNAcentral.
GACGAACGCUGGCGGCGUGCUUAACACAUGCAAGUCGAACGAUGAACCUGCUUCGGUGGGGGAUUAGUGGCGAACGGGUGAGUAACACGUGGGUAAUCUGCCCUGCACUUCGGGACAAGCCCUGGAAACGGGGUCUAAUACCGGAUAUGACCACUGGCCGCAUGGUUUGGUGGUGGAAAGCUCCGGCGGUGCAGGAUGAGCCCGCGGCCUAUCAGCUUGUUGGUGAGGUAGUGGCUUACCAAGGCGACGACGGGUAGCCGGCCUGAGAGGGCGACCGGCCACACUGGGACUGAGACACGGCCCAGACUCCUACGGGAGGCAGCAGUGGGGAAUAUUGCACAAUGGGCGCAAGCCUGAUGCAGCGACGCCGCGUGGGGGAUGACGGCCUUCGGGUUGUAAACCUCUUUCAGCAGGGAACAAGCUUCGCUUUUUGGUGGGGUGAGCGUACCUGCAGAAGAAGCGCCGGCUAACUACGUGCCAGCAGCCGCCGUAACAC